UACGGGGGGUGCGAGCGUUGUCCGGAAUCACUGGGCGUAAAGGGCGCGUAGGUGGCGUGAUAAGGGUGUGGUGAAAGCCCGGGGCUCAACCCCGGAAUUGCCUUUAAGACUGCAUCGCUUGAAUCCGGGAGAGGUGAGUGGAAUUCCGAGUGUAGAGGUGAAAUUCGUAGAUAUUCGGAAGAACACCAGUGGCGAAGGCGGCUCACUGGACCGGUAUUGACGCUGAGGUGCGAAAGCGUGGGGAGCAAACAGG
Molecule: ribosomal RNA, 253 nt
Filed under: uncultured bacterium
Lineage: Bacteria
Description: partial 16S ribosomal RNA
Rfam family: Bacterial small subunit ribosomal RNA
Source: RNAcentral